GACGAACGCUGGCGGCGUGCCUAAUACAUGCAAGUAGAACGCUGAAGUGAGGAGCUUGCUCUUCUUGGAUGAGUUGCGAACGGGUGAGUAACGCGUAGGUAACCUGCCUGGUAGCGGGGGAUAACUAUUGGAAACGAUAGCUAAUACCGCAUAAAAUUGAUUAUUGCAUGAUACUUAAUUGAAAGAUGCAACUGCAUCACUACCAGAUGGACCUGCGUUGUAUUAGCUAGUUGGUGAGGUAACGGCUCACCAAGGCGACGAUACAUAGCCAACCUGAGAGGGUGAUCGGCCAACCUGGGACUGAGACACGGCCCAGACUCCUACGGGGAGCAGCAGUAGGGAAUCUUCGGCAAUAGGGCGAACCCUGACCGAGCAACGCCGGGGGAGGUAAGAAGGGUUUCGGAUCGUAAAGCUCUGUUGUAGGAGAAGAACGGGUGUGAGAGUGGAAAGUUCACACUGUGACGGUAUCUUACCAGAAAGGGACGGCUAACUACGUG
This 497-nucleotide ribosomal RNA is filed under the name uncultured bacterium. RNAcentral describes it as "partial 16S ribosomal RNA". It matches the Rfam family "Bacterial small subunit ribosomal RNA", at positions 28 to 507 of the family's 1533-position model. The record is from RNAcentral.